UCAGGAUGAACGCUAGCGGCAGGCUUAACACAUGCAAGUCGAGGGGCAUCGGGAGUAGCAAUACUGCCGGCGACCGGCGCAAGGGUGCGUAACGCGUGAGCAACAUGCCCGUAUCAGGGGGAUAAUCCAUGGAAACGUGGUCUAAUACCCCAUAGUAAUUAUGUAAGGCAUCUUAUAUAAUUUAAAGCUUUGGUGGAUACGGAUUGGCUCGCGUGACAUUAGCUGGAUGGUAAGGUAACGGCUUACCAUGGCUACGAUGUCUAGGGGUUCUGAGAGGAAGGUCCCCCACACUGGAACUGAGACACGGUCCAGACUCCUACGGGAGGCAGCAGUGAGGAAUAUUGGACAAUGGAUGGAAAUCUGAUCCAGCCAUGCCGCGUGCAAAAGAAGACGGCCCUAUGGGUUGUAAACUGCUUUUGUAUGGGAGCAAUAAGGGCUACGUGUAGUCCGAUGAGAGUACCAUACGAAUAAGCACCGGCUAACUCCGUGCCAGCCGCCGC
This 500-nucleotide ribosomal RNA is filed under the name uncultured bacterium. RNAcentral's name for it is "bacterial SSU rRNA". It matches the Rfam family "Bacterial small subunit ribosomal RNA", at positions 24 to 518 of the family's 1533-position model. The record is from RNAcentral.